UACGUAGGGUGCAAGCGUUGUCCGGAAUUAUUGGGCGUAAAGAGCUCGUAGGCGGUUUGUCGCGUCUGCUGUGAAAACUGGAGGCUCAACCUCCAGCCUGCAGUGGGUACGGGCAGACUAGAGUGCGGUAGGGGAGAUUGGAAUUCCUGGUGUAGCGGUGGAAUGCGCAGAUAUCAGGAGGAACACCGAUGGCGAAGGCAGAUCUCUGGGCCGUAACUGGACGCUGAGGAGCGAAAGCAUGGGGGAGCGAACAGGG
Molecule: ribosomal RNA, 256 nt
Filed under: uncultured bacterium
Lineage: Bacteria
Description: partial 16S ribosomal RNA
Rfam family: Bacterial small subunit ribosomal RNA
Source: RNAcentral